Molecule: small nucleolar RNA, 107 nt
Filed under: Chaetomium globosum CBS 148.51
Lineage: Eukaryota; Fungi; Ascomycota; Sordariomycetes; Sordariales; Chaetomiaceae
Description: A. fumigatus snoRNA Afu_514
Rfam family: A. fumigatus snoRNA Afu_514
Source: Rfam by way of RNAcentral
CGUCAUGAUGAGCGUAAUUUGCGAUUGAUACCGCUUGGAUGGCCCCCUUUCGCCGGGGCGGCUAAAUCCGGCGGACACAUGAUAGUCAUUUCUUACAUAUUCUGAAC